GGGUUGUGAGGUUAAGCGACUAAGCGUACACGGUGGAUGCCCUGGCAGUCAGAGGCGAUGAAGGACGUGCUAAUCUGCGAUAAGCGUCGGUAAGGUGAUAUGAACCGUUAUAACCGGCGAUUUCCGAAUGGGGAAACCCAGUGUGAUUCGUCACACUAUCAUUAACUGAAUCCAUAGGUUAAUGAGGCGAACCGGGGGAACUGAAACAUCUAAGUACCCCGAGGAAAAGAAAUCAACCGAGAUUCCCCCAGUAGCGGCGAGCGAACGGGGAGCAGCCCAGAGCCUGAAUCAGUGUGUGUGUUAGUGGAAGCGUCUGGAAAGGCGCGCGAUACAGGGUGACAGCCCCGUACACAAAAAUGCACAUGCUGUGAGCUCGAUGAGUAGGGCGGGACACGUGGUAUCCUGUCUGAAUAUGGGGGGACCAUCCUCCAAGGCUAAAUACUCCUGACUGACCGAUAGUGAACCAGUACCGUGAGGGAAAGGCGAAAAGAACCCCGGCGAGGGGAGUGAAAAAGAACCUGAAACCGUGUACGUACAAGCAGUGGGAGCACGCUUAGGCGUGUGACUGCGUACCUUUUGUAUAAUGGGUCAGCGACUUAUAUUCUGUAGCAAGGUUAACCGAAUAGGGGAGCCGAAGGGAAACCGAGUCUUAACUGGGCGUUAAGUUGCAGGGUAUAGACCCGAAACCCGGUGAUCUAGCCAUGGGCAGGUUGAAGGUUGGGUAACACUAACUGGAGGACCGAACCGACUAAUGUUGAAAAAUUAGCGGAUGACUUGUGGCUGGGGGUGAAAGGCCAAUCAAACCGGGAGAUAGCUGGUUCUCCCCGAAAGCUAUUUAGGUAGCGCCUCGUGAAUUCAUCUCCGGGGGUAGAGCACUGUUUCGGCAAGGGGGUCAUCCCGACUUACCAACCCGAUGCAAACUACGAAUACCGGAGAAUGUUAUCACGGGAGACACACGGCGGGUGCUAACGUCCGUCGUGAAGAGGGAAACAACCCAGACCGCCAGCUAAGGUCCCAAAGUCAUGGUUAAGUGGGAAACGAUGUGGGAAGGCCCAGACAGCCAGGAUGUUGGCUUAGAAGCAGCCAUCAUUUAAAGAAAGCGUAAUAGCUCACUGGUCGAGUCGGCCUGCGCGGAAGAUGUAACGGGGCUAAACCAUGCACCGAAGCUGCGGCAGCGACGCUUAUGCGUUGUUGGGUAGGGGAGCGUUCUGUAAGCCUGCGAAGGUGUGCUGUGAGGCAUGCUGGAGGUAUCAGAAGUGCGAAUGCUGACAUAAGUAACGAUAAAGCGGGUGAAAAGCCCGCUCGCCGGAAGACCAAGGGUUCCUGUCCAACGUUAAUCGGGGCAGGGUGAGUCGACCCCUAAGGCGAGGCCGAAAGGCGUAGUCGAUGGGAAACAGGUUAAUAUUCCUGUACUUGGUGUUACUGCGAAGGGGGGACGGAGAAGGCUAUGUUGGCCGGGCGACGGUUGUCCCGGUUUAAGCGUGUAGGCUGGUUUUCCAGGCAAAUCCGGAAAAUCAAGGCUGAGGCGUGAUGACGAGGCACUACGGUGCUGAAGCAACAAAUGCCCUGCUUCCAGGAAAAGCCUCUAAGCAUCAGGUAACAUCAAAUCGUACCCCAAACCGACACAGGUGGUCAGGUAGAGAAUACCAAGGCGCUUGAGAGAACUCGGGUGAAGGAACUAGGCAAAAUGGUGCCGUAACUUCGGGAGAAGGCACGCUGAUAUGUAGGUGAAGCGACUUGCUCGUGGAGCUGAAAUCAGUCGAAGAUACCAGCUGGCUGCAACUGUUUAUUAAAAACACAGCACUGUGCAAACACGAAAGUGGACGUAUACGGUGUGACGCCUGCCCGGUGCCGGAAGGUUAAUUGAUGGGGUUAGCGCAAGCGAAGCUCUUGAUCGAAGCCCCGGUAAACGGCGGCCGUAACUAUAACGGUCCUAAGGUAGCGAAAUUCCUUGUCGGGUAAGUUCCGACCUGCACGAAUGGCGUAAUGAUGGCCAGGCUGUCUCCACCCGAGACUCAGUGAAAUUGAACUCGCUGUGAAGAUGCAGUGUACCCGCGGCAAGACGGAAAGACCCCGUGAACCUUUACUAUAGCUUGACACUGAACAUUGAGCCUUGAUGUGUAGGAUAGGUGGGAGGCUUAGAAGUGUGGACGCCAGUCUGCAUGGAGCCGACCUUGAAAUACCACCCUUUAAUGUUUGAUGUUCUAACGUUGACCCGUAAUCCGGGUUGCGGACAGUGUCUGGUGGGUAGUUUGACUGGGGCGGUCUCCUCCUAAAGAGUAACGGAGGAGCACGAAGGUUGGCUAAUCCUGGUCGGACAUCAGGAGGUUAGUGCAAUGGCAUAAGCCAGCUUGACUGCGAGCGUGACGGCGCGAGCAGGUGCGAAAGCAGGUCAUAGUGAUCCGGUGGUUCUGAAUGGAAGGGCCAUCGCUCAACGGAUAAAAGGUACUCCGGGGAUAACAGGCUGAUACCGCCCAAGAGUUCAUAUCGACGGCGGUGUUUGGCACCUCGAUGUCGGCUCAUCACAUCCUGGGGCUGAAGUAGGUCCCAAGGGUAUGGCUGUUCGCCAUUUAAAGUGGUACGCGAGCUGGGUUUAGAACGUCGUGAGACAGUUCGGUCCCUAUCUGCCGUGGGCGCUGGAGAACUGAGGGGGGCUGCUCCUAGUACGAGAGGACCGGAGUGGACGCAUCACUGGUGUUCGGGUUGUCAUGCCAAUGGCACUGCCCGGUAGCUAAAUGCGGAAGAGAUAAGUGCUGAAAGCAUCUAAGCACGAAACUUGCCCCGAGAUGAGUUCUCCCUGACCCUUUAAGGGUCCUGAAGGAACGUUGAAGACGACGACGUUGAUAGGCCGGGUGUGUAAGCGCAGCGAUGCGUUGAGCUAACCGGUACUAAUGAACCGUGAGGCUUAACCUUACAACGCCGAAGGUGUUU
This 2931-nucleotide ribosomal RNA is filed under the name Escherichia coli FAP1. RNAcentral describes it as "bacterial LSU rRNA". It matches the Rfam family "Bacterial large subunit ribosomal RNA". Lineage: Bacteria; Pseudomonadati; Pseudomonadota; Gammaproteobacteria; Enterobacterales; Enterobacteriaceae. The record is from RNAcentral.